This 243-nucleotide ribosomal RNA is filed under the name uncultured bacterium. Its description in RNAcentral is "partial 16S ribosomal RNA". It matches the Rfam family "Bacterial small subunit ribosomal RNA", at positions 116 to 353 of the family's 1533-position model. The record is from RNAcentral.
CGUGGGUAACCUGCCUUAUAGUGGGGGAGUAGCCUUUCGAAAGGAAGAUUAAUACCGCAUAAGAUUGUAGUAUCGCAUGAUAUAGCAAUUAAAGGAGCAAUUCGCUAUAAGAUGGACCCGCGUCGCAUUAGCUAGUUGGUGAGGUAAUGGCUCACCAAGGCGACGAUGCGUAGCCGACCUGAGAGGGUGAUCGGCCACAUUGGGACUGAGACACGGCCCAGACUCCUACGGGGAGGCAGCAUG